GGGGGGCUGGCGCAACGGUAGCGCGUCGGAUUCCAGUCCCGAAGGUUACCGGUUCAAAUCCGGUGUCCCUCA
Metarhizium acridum CQMa 102 is the source of this 72-nucleotide non-coding RNA. The record is from the annotation of a RefSeq genome assembly. Lineage: Eukaryota; Fungi; Ascomycota; Sordariomycetes; Hypocreales; Clavicipitaceae.